Molecule: ribosomal RNA, 253 nt
Filed under: uncultured bacterium
Lineage: Bacteria
Description: partial 16S ribosomal RNA
Rfam family: Bacterial small subunit ribosomal RNA
Source: RNAcentral
UACGGAGGGUGCGAGCGUUGUCCGGAAUCACUGGGCGUAAAGGGCGCGUAGGCGGCGCGGAUAGUCGGCGGUGAAAGCCCGGAGCUCAACUCCGGGUCGGCCGUCGAUACUUCCGGGCUUGAGCACUGUAGAGGCAGAUGGAAUUCCGGGUGUAGCGGUGGAAUGCGUAGAGAUCCGGAAGAACACCGGUGGCGAAGGCGGUCUGCUGGGCAGUUGCUGACGCUGAGGCGCGAAAGCUAGGGGAGCAAACAGG